AUUGAACGCUGGCGGCAGGCCUAACACAUGCAAGUCGAGCGGAUGAAGGGAGCUUGCUCCUGGAUUCAGCGGCGGACGGGUGAGUAAUGCCUAGGAAUCUGCCUGGUAGUGGGGGAUAACGUCCGUAAACGGGCGCUAAUACCGCAUACGUCCUGAGGGAGAAAGUGGGGGAUCUUCGGACCUCACGCUAUCAGAUGAGCCUAGGUCGGAUUAGCUAGUUGGUGGGGUAAAGGCCUACCAAGGCGACGAUCCGUAACUGGUCUGAGAGGAUGAUCAGUCACACUGGAACUGAGACACGGUCCGGACUCCUACGGGAGGCAGCAGUGGGGAAUAUUGGACAAUGGGCGAAAGCCUGAUCCAGCCAUGCCGCGUGUGUGAAGAAGGUCUUCGGAUUGUAAAGCACUUUAAGUUGGGAGGAAGGGAAGUAAGUUAAUACCUUGCUGUUUUGACGUUACCAACAGAAUAAGCACCGGCUAACUUCGUG
RNAcentral lists this ribosomal RNA (484 nucleotides) under uncultured bacterium. RNAcentral's name for it is "partial 16S ribosomal RNA". It matches the Rfam family "Bacterial small subunit ribosomal RNA", at positions 30 to 507 of the family's 1533-position model. The record is from RNAcentral.